Molecule: ribosomal RNA, 428 nt
Filed under: uncultured bacterium
Lineage: Bacteria
Description: bacterial SSU rRNA
Rfam family: Bacterial small subunit ribosomal RNA
Source: RNAcentral
UGGGGCAGCGCAGGUAGCAAUACUGGGCGGCGACCGGCAACGGGUGCGGAACACGUACACAACCUUCCGAGAAGUGGGGAAUAGCCCAGAGAAAUUUGGGUUAAUACCCCGUAACAUAACGAUGUGGCAUCACAUUGUUAUUAUAGCUUCGGCGCUUCUUGAUGGGUGUGCGGCUGAUUAGAUAGUUGGCGGGGUAACGGCCCACCAAGUCUACGAUCAGUAGCUGAUGUGAGAGCAUGAUCAGCCACACGGGCACUGAGACACGGGCCCGACUCCUACGGGAGGCAGCAGUAAGGAAUAUUGGUCAAUGGACGCAAGUCUGAACCAGCCAUGCCGCGUGAAGGAUUAAGGUCCUCUGGAUUGUAAACUUCUUUUAUCUGGGACGAAAAAAGGCGAUUCUUCGUCACUUGACGGUACCAGAUGAAUAA